This 263-nucleotide ribosomal RNA is filed under the name uncultured bacterium. Its description in RNAcentral is "partial 16S ribosomal RNA". It matches the Rfam family "Bacterial small subunit ribosomal RNA", at positions 95 to 354 of the family's 1533-position model. The record is from RNAcentral.
CUGGCGCACGGGUGAGUAACACGUAUGCAACCUGGCCGUCACAGGUGGAUAACCGGAAGAAAUUCCGACUAAUACAGCAUAACACUCCUGAGGGACAUCCUUCGGGAGUCAAAGGAGGCAACUCCGGUGACGGAUGGGCAUGCGGCGCAUUAGGUAGUUGGUAGGGUAACGGCCUACCAAGCCGACGAUGCGUAGGGGUUCUGAGAGGAAGGUCCCCCACAUUGGAACUGAGACACGGUCCAAACUCCUACGGGAGGCAGCAG